Molecule: RNase P RNA, 391 nt
Filed under: Acidobacteriota bacterium
Lineage: Bacteria; Pseudomonadati; Acidobacteriota
Description: Acidobacteria bacterium (activated sludge metagenome) RNase P RNA component class A
Rfam family: Bacterial RNase P class A
About the family: Ribonuclease P (RNase P) is a ubiquitous endoribonuclease, found in archaea, bacteria and eukarya as well as chloroplasts and mitochondria.
Source: RNAcentral
GGAGAGCUCCGGGUGGUCGCUCCUGCCUUCGGGCAGGGGAGGAAAGUCCGAACUCCGACGGGCGGCAUGCUUGCUAACGGCAAGGCGCAGCGAUGCGACGGAAAGUGCAACAGAGAGUAGACCGCCGGCGUCCUCCGGGGCGCCGGUAAGGGUGAAAGGGUGCGGUAAGAGCGCACCGCUCCGCCGGCGACGGCUGGAGGCACGGUAAACCCCAUGUGGAGCAAGACCAAAUAGGGGGGCAGUUUGCGGGCCGCCCGUCCCGCUCGCACGCUUCGGCGUGCGGCUAGUCCCCGGGUAGGUCGCUCGAGGCCGGCGGCGACGCCGGUCCCAGAGGAAUGACCACAACCUGGUUCGCCAGGAGACAGAAUUCGGCUUAUGGAGCUCUCCGGCU